AUUGAACGCUGGCGGCAUGCCUUACACAUGCAAGUCGAACGGCAGCACGGGUGCUUGCACCUGGUGGCGAGUGGCGAACGGGUGAGUAAUACAUCGGAACGUACCUUAUCGUGGGGGAUAACGCAGCGAAAGCUGUGCUAAUACCGCAUACGCCCUGAGGGGGAAAGCGGGGGAUCGCAAGACCUCGCGCGAUUAGAGCGGCCGAUGCCUGAUUAGCUUGUUGGUGGGGUAAAAGCCCACCAAGGCGACGAUCAGUAGCUGGUCUGAGAGGACGAUCAGCACCACUGGGACUGAGACACGGCCCAGACUCCUACGGGAGGCAGCAGUGGGGAAUUUUGGACAAUGGUGGCGACCCUGAUCCAGCAAUGCCGCAUGAGUGAAGAAGGCCUUCGGGUUGUAAAGCUCUUUUGUCAGGGAAGAAACACCGGCUCUAACACAGUCUGGGAAUGACGGUACCUGAAGAAUAAGCACCGGCUAACUACGUGCCAGCAGCCGCAGUAA
RNAcentral lists this ribosomal RNA (501 nucleotides) under uncultured bacterium. RNAcentral describes it as "partial 16S ribosomal RNA". It matches the Rfam family "Bacterial small subunit ribosomal RNA", at positions 30 to 523 of the family's 1533-position model. The record is from RNAcentral.